Melanotaenia boesemani (Boeseman's rainbowfish) is the source of this 129-nucleotide long non-coding RNA. RefSeq lists it as uncharacterized. The transcript is spliced from 3 exons. The record is from RefSeq and is a predicted model, not a curated record. NCBI's taxonomy places the organism in Eukaryota, Metazoa, Chordata, Actinopteri, Atheriniformes, Melanotaeniidae.
AACCAGGUCAGCAGUGUUAAAAACCAGGUCAGUGGUGUAAUUAACCAGGUCAGCAGUGUUAAUAACCAGGUCAGUGGUGUAAUUAACCAGGUCAGCAGUGUUAAUAACCAGGUUGGUGGUGUAUUAACC